AAACAACCAGAUCUCUUUUUCCAGCUAGCUCCGGCGUCGGGUUGUGCCGGCGUCAGAGGCUCCCUUUCUCCUCCUUAUCUCCUUUUUCCUUUGCUCCUUCAGCCUCUCUUCUCCCUUGUGGCGAUAUGUACGGAUCUCUGGUGGUAGUUUUUCUCGGCGGUGGUCUCGAUCUGCUCCGGGGGGAGAGGGAUUCGCCGGUUUCCACUGUCCUCUGGAGAUCUGACGAGCCAGUAAGGGGUUGGUGCGUUGAAGUAGUCGGCGUUUCUAGGGUGAAGUUUCACCAGAUCUGUUUUUCAAGUUUUUAGAUCUGGUUUUGUCUUCGGAUUUGGAGGCGCGUGUGGUCGUGGUCGAGUCUCUCCUCUGUUCUCUGUCUCUGUUCUUAUCAUCCGAAGGUUCUCUUCGUCGUGGAUUGGAGUUGAAGCCGUCUCUUUCCACCACGGCUCGGCGUCUUGUCGUGGUUGUGAGGGUCGUUUCUGCUCAGGUUAGGCUUCGGGUUAGACCCGACGGCGCGUGCACGGAGUUGAGGUGGUUGUGUGGCUAUCUUUUCCUCUGUGGUUUGCGUGUGCAGUCUAAGAUUAGUGUGGCGCACUGUCGUCUAUGGCUGUAGCGUCUGCUUCUUCGGCGACUGCUCUCUCCUUCUUCGCCAGUCGCACUAGCCUCUCUCUCUUGCUUGUACCUUUACGGAGGUUAUGAGCCUUCAGUUCCAGCUUCUUCUGGGUUGCUCGCCUUGUGGUGGUGCUCCAGUGGUGGCGCAGCAAAGAGACCGAGGCAGGUUCUCUGUCUUCGGGGUAAAGCGUCGGUAUGAGGGUUCUUCGGAGUCUUUGGAUCCUAUGUCCCGCGUGUGAGAUUUGCUUGGAAUUACGGUCAUCCCAGUACCUGCUUGGCCUCUUGGUUGACUAGGUAGACCGUGUCCCUUCUCUUUUGCAGGUUCUGAUGGUUGAGGGUUGGUGUUGCUUCCUGCCAGCCCGUGUUCCUGAAGGCGUGGUGUUCCUGUAGUCGGCUGCUGGGUUGGUGGUUUGCAGCGGUUCUUGGACUCUCCUCCUUCUGAAUAAAGCUCGAUCUUUGUCUGGUACGGGUGUUACUGGUCUCGGACCUUGCUGUUUGUGCGUGUUGGAAGCAGAUUAGGAGGUCAUACGCAAGCUGUUCUUGGUUGGACCUUAUCUCAAAGAGCUGUUCAUCGG
RNAcentral lists this long non-coding RNA (1181 nucleotides) under Brassica napus (rape). RNAcentral describes it as "long non-coding RNA (BNAP_LNC008627)". Lineage: Eukaryota; Viridiplantae; Streptophyta; Magnoliopsida; Brassicales; Brassicaceae. The record is from RNAcentral.